Molecule: non-coding RNA, 69 nt
Filed under: human gut metagenome
Description: Fluoride riboswitch
Rfam family: Fluoride riboswitch aptamer (crcB RNA motif)
Source: RNAcentral
AUCGGGAAUGAGGUUCUCCCCAAGUCAUAUGACUUAAACCGCUUUUAUAAGCUGAUGACUUCUGCGAAU